Molecule: ribosomal RNA, 787 nt
Filed under: Melitta leporina
Lineage: Eukaryota; Metazoa; Arthropoda; Insecta; Hymenoptera; Melittidae
Description: SSU rRNA
Rfam family: Eukaryotic small subunit ribosomal RNA
Source: RNAcentral
CGGGGAGGUAGUGACGAAAAAUAACGAUACGGGACUCAUCCGAGGCCCCGUAAUCGGAAUGAGUACAGUUUAAAUCCUUUAACAAGGAUCCAUUGGAGGGCAAGUCUGGUGCCAGCAGCCGCGGUAAUUCCAGCUCCAAUAGCGUAUAUUAAAGUUGUUGCGGUUAAAAAGCUCGUAGUUGAAUCUGUGUGUCACAGUGUCGGUUCACCGCUCGCGGUGUUUAACUGGCAUUAUGUGAUACGUCCUACCGGUGGGUCGUUCCUAUUAAUUAGGGCGACCCAACUAAUCUCCCAUCGCGGUGCUCUUUACUGAGUGUCGAGGUGGGCCGGUACGUUUACUUUGAACAAAUUAGAGUGCUCAAAGCAGGCUACCUUCGCCUGAAUACUGUGUGCAUGGAAUAAUGGAAUAGGGCCUCGGUUCUAUUUUGUUGGUUUUCGGAACUCCGAGGUAAUGAUUAAUAGGGAUAGAUGGGGGCAUUCGUAUUGCGACGUUAGAGGUGAAAUUCUUGGAUCGUCGCAAGACGGACAGAAGCGAAAGCAUUUGCCAAAAAUGUUUUCAUUAAUCAAGAACGAAAGUUAGAGGUUCGAAGGCGAUCAGAUACCGCCCUAGUUCUAACCAUAAACGAUGCCAGCUAGCGAUCCGCCGAAGUUCCUCCGAUGACUCGGCGGGCAGCUUCCGGGAAACCAAAGCUUUUGGGUUCCGGGGGAAGUAUGGUUGCAAAGCUGAAACUUAAAGGAAUUGACGGAAGGGCACCACCAGGAGUGGAGCCUGCGGCUUAAUUUGACUC